Molecule: ribosomal RNA, 194 nt
Filed under: Dechloromonas sp. enrichment culture DGGE band BES-CAP-7
Lineage: Bacteria; Pseudomonadati; Pseudomonadota; Betaproteobacteria; Rhodocyclales; Azonexaceae
Description: partial 16S ribosomal RNA
Rfam family: Bacterial small subunit ribosomal RNA
Source: RNAcentral
CCUACGGGAGGCAGCAGUGGGGAAUUUUGGACAAUGGGGGCAACCCUGAUCCAGCCAUGCCGCGUGAGUGAAGAAGGCCUUCGGGUUGUAAAGCUCUUUCGGACGGAAAGAAAACGGAUGGGUUAAUACCCUGUUCGGAUGACGGUACCGUCAUAAGAAGCACCGGCUAACUACGUGCCAGCAGCCGCGGUAAU